This 495-nucleotide ribosomal RNA is filed under the name uncultured bacterium. Its description in RNAcentral is "bacterial SSU rRNA". It matches the Rfam family "Bacterial small subunit ribosomal RNA", at positions 28 to 507 of the family's 1533-position model. The record is from RNAcentral.
GAUGAACGCUAGCUACAGGCUUAACACAUGCAAGUCGAGGGGAAACGAUAUUGGAAGCUUGCUUCCGAUAGGCGUCGACCGGCGCACGGGUGAGUAACGCGUAUCCAACCUGCCCACCACUUGGGGAUAACCUUGCGAAAGUAAGACUAAUACCCAAUGAUAUCUCUAGAAGACAUCUGAAAGAGAUUAAAGAUUUAUCGGUGAUGGAUGGGGAUGCGUCUGAUUAGCUUGUUGGCGGGGUAACGGCCCACCAAGGCGACGAUCAGUAGGGGUUCUGAGAGGAAGGUCCCCCACAUUGGAACUGAGACACGGUCCAAACUCCUACGGGAGGCAGCAGUGAGGAAUAUUGGUCAAUGGGGCGAAGAGCCUGAACCAGCCAAGUAGCGUGCAGGAAGACGGCCCUAUGGGUUGUAAACUGCUUUCAGUCGGGAAUAACUCGUCGGUCGUGACCGACGUUGCAGGUACCGUCAUAAGAAGGACCGGCUAAAUUCCGUG